RNAcentral lists this long non-coding RNA (396 nucleotides) under Oryza sativa Indica Group (long-grained rice). RNAcentral describes it as "lncRNA OsGoSa_03g0026250". The record is from RNAcentral. Lineage: Eukaryota; Viridiplantae; Streptophyta; Magnoliopsida; Poales; Poaceae.
CACAGCCUGGCUCGCCGCUCGAGGCGUGCAGCGAGCCGCGAGUGCAGGCAGCCAGACAGCGAGAGAAGUCACCGCGCGGCCUCGACUACUUCUCCGCCUCCUCAUUUCCUCCCACCGAAAGAAAAGCUUAGGGUUCGGCCGCUGCUGCUCAUCGCCGCCUCAUCCUCCGCCGCCGGGCGUCGGCGCCGGCUCCCCUCCAUCGCCGGCUCCCUCCGUCGCCCCCCCUCAGAUCCGUCGGCUGCCCGCCUUCUCUUCCACUGUGAAGUCCUCGUUCUCUCCGUUGAGCCCAUCUUCUUCGUCGGUUUUCUUCCUCACGCCCUCUCCUCUUCGGUUCUCUCCGUCGAGCUCUCCGAUAACUCUACCCAGGCUGAGUUGUGGCUGGUAUUGGCGAUAUAA